GCCAAAACUCAGUGGUAGAGCGUCUGCUUUGCAUGCAGAAUGCUCCAGGUUCAAUCCCUGGCAUCUGCA
Molecule: non-coding RNA, 69 nt
Organism: Podarcis lilfordi (Lilford's wall lizard)
Lineage: Eukaryota; Metazoa; Chordata; Lepidosauria; Squamata; Lacertidae
Source: the annotation of a GenBank genome assembly